UUUUUUUUUUUUUUUUUUUUUGCUGUUCCCUGCAAGCAGUUGCUUCAAAGUUAGCUAUGGUGUCCCUAUAGUUGGACAAUACCACGAUUUGGUUCUCCAAACAAAAUUAAGUCGAUUAGAAUUGAAUUAAAAAUUAUUAGAAUCGACCUAAUUGAAAUUAACCUAAUUGAAAUUGACUUUGAAUCACUGUUAGAAUCAAAUUCAGUAAACCUCAACUGGCCUAACUAAAAUUAUCAUUGAAUUGAAUAGGAAUCGAUCAAAAGCAACAGAGCAGAAUUUCAACCCUUUUUUUGCGCCUAUGGAUAAUCACACAAGCUACAAGGGAAUGGCUAAACGUUUCCAUAAAGGUAUAAACCCUCUUUCCAUCCCAUCCCCUCAUUAAAUUGUUAAUGAUCGGAAAGCACAGAACAUAAAUGGUCAGGGAAGAAAAACCACCUUCAAAUUUUUUAUAAAAUUAUUAUUUGAAAAAGUUGAAUUUCUGGGCAAUUGACUAGCAACCAAAGAAAAUAUUGGUUUGGUACAAGAUCAAUGCAACUACAAAAUCGAAUGAAUGCACUGCUCUGUUAUUUUUAGGGGAAAAAAAUUAGGACUUGCAAAUUGUACAACACUAACAUGGCGAAGUAGCACUACUGUAACUAGUGACUAAUGAUAAAUGCGAAUAACUGUACCUACCUACAAAAAUGCAGCUUACAAAAACAAUUUCCAGUCUUAAAACUCCGAAAUUUUUUUCACUUACAUUUGAUGAAAAGUUAAAUUGCAGAUCAGGCAUCCAAUCCAUCAUUUCACACUGGAAACUUAUGUUUUACCUCAAAUGCCUGACACUGCCAGUCAUGCAGCUGCUUGAACUGGCCCACCAGUUCUAAAACCUUGACCACGACCACGAGGCCUUCCCCUCCCACGCCCACGACCACGAGUUUGAGCAGGCAGUUCUGCUGAUCCACCAUAACCAUUGUAAUAACCUGAUUUCUGCUUCAUAUUUCCACCACCAUACCCUCUUCCACGCCCUCGGAAACUGCGCCCUCUUCCAUGACCUCGACCUCUACUACCAUAUCCUCGACCACCAUCCCAACCCCCAUUGCUAUGUUCUGCUACACCAUUGCUAUUACCUCGCUCGUCAUCAUAUUCAGCUAAUGGCUUUACUUGAUCAGCUGGGAUUGGGGGCUGAUAUCCGAUAGAAGACAAAUUAAGCUCCUUCUUAGACAGGGUAAUCGUGAUAACUGAAAUAUGGCGGGUGGUUUCUAGGCUUCUUCUAAGGGUUCCCAAGUGUCAGUUAUAUCAACAGAUCCAAUUGAUGUGAUUUGAUGAAGAUCAACAACUCGUCUCUUGAGCAAUUCAGCAAUCAUCACAGUCUUGUUGAUAGCUCUACCCGUAGCUUUCAGGACAACCUCAUCAGUGCCUUUGUCCUGGAAAAGAGAAAGAGCAUAUGAAAUGUAAUUCCUCAUCCUCCCUUGAGCAGUAAUCCUCAAUUCGUUCUCAUUGAUAGCUGUCUCCGCCUUAGGCUUCUCUACCCUCUGAUACCGAUCCAUUCUAUCGGCUGUGGCGGUCUUAUCUGUGGAGCUUCCUGCUUUCUGCUUUGUGCUUGGCUUUUGAUUUUGAGAUUUUU
This 1603-nucleotide unclassified non-coding RNA is filed under the name Hevea brasiliensis (rubber tree). Lineage: Eukaryota; Viridiplantae; Streptophyta; Magnoliopsida; Malpighiales; Euphorbiaceae. The record is from RNAcentral.